GGGGCUAAACCAUGCACCGAAGCUGCGGCAGCGACACUGUGUGUUGUUGGGUAGGGGAGCGUUCUGUAAGCCUGUGAAGGUGUGUCGUGAGGCAUGCUGGAGGUAUCAGAAGUGCGAAUGCUGACAUAAGUAACGAUAAAGCGGGUGAAAAGCCCGCUCGCCGGAAGACCAAGGGUUCCUGUCCAACGUUAAUCGGGGCAGGGUGAGUCGACCCCUAAGGCGAGGCCGAAAGGCGUAGUCGAUGGGAAACGGGUUAAUAUUCCCGUACUUGGUGUUACUGCGAAGGGGGGACGGAGAAGGCUAUGUUGGCCGGGCGACGGUUGUCCCGGUUUAAGCGUGUAGGUGUGUGUUCCAGGUAAAUCCGGUUCACUUUAACACUGAGGCGUGACGACGAGGCACUACGGUGCUGAAGCAACAAAUGCCCUGCUUCCAGGAAAAGCCUCUAAGCAUCAGGUAACAUCAAAUCGUACCCCAAACCGACACAGGUGGUCAGGUAGAGAAUACCAAGGCGCUUGAGAGAACUCGGGUGAAGGAACUAGGCAAAAUGGUGCCGUAACUUCGGGAGAAGGCACGCUGACACGUAGGUGAAGUGAUUUACUCAUGGAGCUGAAGUCAGUCGAAGAUACCAGCUGGCUGCAACUGUUUAUUAAAAACACAGCACUGUGCAAACACGAAAGUGGACGUAUACGGUGUGACGCCUGCCCGGUGCCGGAAGGUUAAUUGAUGGGGUCAGCGCAAGCGAAGCUCCUGAUCGAAGCCCCGGUAAACGGCGGCCGUAACUAUAACGGUCCUAAGGUAGCGAAAUUCCUUGUCGGGUAAGUUCCGACCUGCACGAAUGGCGUAAUGAUGGCCAGGCUGUCUCCACCCGAGACUCAGUGAAAUUGAACUCGCUGUGAAGAUGCAGUGUACCCGCGGCAAGACGGAAAGACCCCGUGAACCUUUACUAUAGCUUGACACUGAACAUUGAGCCUUGAUGUGUAGGAUAGGUGGGAGGCUUUGAAGUGUGGACGCCAGUCUGCAUGGAGCCGACCUUGAAAUACCACCCUUUAAUGUUUGAUGUUCUAACGUGGACCCGUGAUCCGGGUUGCGGACAGUGUCUGGUGGGUAGUUUGACUGGGGCGGUCUCCUCCUAAAGAGUAACGGAGGAGCACGAAGGUUGGCUAAUCCUGGUCGGACAUCAGGAGGUUAGUGCAAUGGCAUAAGCCAGCUUGACUGCGAGCGUGACGGCGCGAGCAGGUGCGAAAGCAGGUCAUAGUGAUCCGGUGGUUCUGAAUGGAAGGGCCAUCGCUCAACGGAUAAAAGGUACUCCGGGGAUAACAGGCUGAUACCGCCCAAGAGUUCAUAUCGACGGCGGUGUUUGGCACCUCGAUGUCGGCUCAUCACAUCCUGGGGCUGAAGUAGGUCCCAAGGGUAUGGCUGUUCGCCAUUUAAAGUGGUACGCGAGCUGGGUUUAGAACGUCGUGAGACAGUUCGGUCCCUAUCUGCCGUGGGCGCUGGAGAACUGAGGGGGGCUGCUCCUAGUACGAGAGGACCGGAGUGGACGCAUCACUGGUGUUCGGGUUGUCAUGCCAAUGGCACUGCCCGGUAGCUAAAUGCGGAAGAGAUAAGUGCUGAAAGCAUCUAAGCACGAAACUUGCCCCGAG
Molecule: ribosomal RNA, 1643 nt
Filed under: Salmonella enterica
Lineage: Bacteria; Pseudomonadati; Pseudomonadota; Gammaproteobacteria; Enterobacterales; Enterobacteriaceae
Description: partial 23S ribosomal RNA
Rfam family: Bacterial large subunit ribosomal RNA
Source: RNAcentral